UGCAUUUGAUUUUUUAUUUGUUUUAAUUAUUUUUUAUUCAUUUUUAAUCAGAACAAUAAUGUUAAAUAAAUUAGAGUAAAAUAAAAUGCAAGUGGGUAGUUUUCGAUUUUAAAAUAAUUUGCAAAAAACCCUAAAAGUUACUAUAAGAGCUUAACAUGAGGCCAAUGCAAAAAGGGAUAGUCGUUCACUCUCAUUCAUCACAAACUCUCAACCAAAUAAAAAUAAUAAUAACAAAAAAGAA
RNAcentral lists this long non-coding RNA (241 nucleotides) under Lathyrus oleraceus (garden pea). RNAcentral describes it as "Pisum sativum (pea) long non-coding RNA (PSAT_LNC034370)". The record is from RNAcentral. Lineage: Eukaryota; Viridiplantae; Streptophyta; Magnoliopsida; Fabales; Fabaceae.